RNAcentral lists this ribosomal RNA (253 nucleotides) under uncultured bacterium. RNAcentral describes it as "partial 16S ribosomal RNA". It matches the Rfam family "Bacterial small subunit ribosomal RNA", at positions 524 to 776 of the family's 1533-position model. The record is from RNAcentral.
UACGGGGGGGGCAAGCGUUGUUCGGAAUUACUGGGCGUAAAGGGCUCGUAGGCGGCCAACUAAGUCAGACGUGAAAUCCCUCGGCUUAACCGGGGAACUGCGUCUGAUACUGGAUGGCUUGAGGUUGGGAGAGGGAUGCGGAAUUCCAGGUGUAGUGGUGAAAUGCGUAGAUAUCGGGAGGAACACCAGUGGCGAAGGCGACUACCUGGCCUGUUCUUGACGCUGAGGCGCGAAAGCUAGGGGAGCAAACGGG